AGAGUUUGAUCCUGGCUCAGAGUGAACGCUGGCGGUAGGCCUAACACAUGCAAGUCGAACGGCAGCACAGUAAGAGCUUGCUCUUACGGGUGGCGAGUGGCGGACGGGUGAGGAAUACAUCGGAAUCUACUUUUUCGUGGGGGAUAACGUAGGGAAACUUACGCUAAUACCGCAUACGACCUUCGGGUGAAAGCAGGGGACCUUCGGGCCUUGCGCGAUUGAAUGAGCCGAUGUCGGAUUAGCUAGUUGGCGGGGUAAAGGCCCACCAAGGCGACGAUCCGUAGCUGGUCUGAGAGGAUGAUCAGCCACACUGGAACUGAGACACGGUCCAGACUCCUACGGGAGGCAGCAGUGGGGAAUAUUGGACAAUGGGCGCAAGCCUGAUCCAGCCAUACCGCGUGGGUGAAGAAGGCCUUCGGGUUGUAAAGCCCUUUUGUUGGGAAAGAAAAGCAGCGGGCUAAUACCUUGCUGUUCUGACGGUACCCAAAGAAUAAGCACCGGCUAACUUCGUG
Molecule: ribosomal RNA, 512 nt
Filed under: uncultured Stenotrophomonas sp.
Lineage: Bacteria; Pseudomonadati; Pseudomonadota; Gammaproteobacteria; Lysobacterales; Lysobacteraceae
Description: bacterial SSU rRNA
Rfam family: Bacterial small subunit ribosomal RNA
Source: RNAcentral